GAUGAACGCUAGCUCCAGGCUUAACACAUGCAAGUCGAGGGGAAACGACAUCGAAAGCUUGCUUUUGAUGGGCGUCGACCGGCGCACGGGUGAGUAACGCGUAUCCAACCUGCCCAUCACUUGGGGAUAACCUUGCGAAAGUAAGACUAAUACCCAAUGAUAUCUCUAGAAGACAUCUGAAAGAGAUUAAAGAUUUAUCGGUGAUGGAUGGGGAUGCGUCUGAUUAGCUUGUUGGCGGGGUAACGGCCCACCAAGGCAACGAUCAGUAGGGGUUCUGAGAGGAAGGUCCCCCACAUUGGAACUGAGACACGGUCCAAACUCCUACGGGAGGCAGCAGUGAGGAAUAUUGGUCAAUGGGCGAGAGCCUGAACCAGCCAAGUAGCGUGCAGGAAGACGGCCCUAUGGGUUGUAAACUGCUUUUAUAAGGAAAUAAAGUGAGAGUCGUGACUCUUUUUGUAUGUACCUUAUGAAUAAGGACCGGCUAAUUCCGUG
This 492-nucleotide ribosomal RNA is filed under the name uncultured bacterium. RNAcentral's name for it is "partial 16S ribosomal RNA". It matches the Rfam family "Bacterial small subunit ribosomal RNA", at positions 28 to 507 of the family's 1533-position model. The record is from RNAcentral.